CCCUGAGAAGGGAGGGCGCGGAGAUAUGGCGUGCGCGGUACCGGCCUGCUGUGGGGCUCCGGCGAAGGGCGGCCGAGAGCCCCCGGGGGCUCCGUGCCCCAGGGUCCGGUCUCGGGGCGGCCGUGUGCAGGGCCCUGCGGCAGCGGCAGGCCGCGGACUGGGUUCGCUUCCCUUCCCGGGAGCGGCCGGGCUCCGACCUGCCGCCGGCUGGGAGCAGCCGCUGCGCUCGUCGGUGCGAGCACAUGCUGGGCUGAACAGCAGAGCCAUCCCUGAUGGGUGCUUUUCGGAGGAAUUGGAAGUGUUCCCUGCUGUUUAAUGUAAUAAAGCCAGCCAUGAGGUUGCCCGGUAGGCUGGUAUUUCUUUGACUGGCAUAUUUUCUCCAAGGAAGCAGUGAUGCUUUCUGCUCCUGGCUCAGCAGUUCUCCAAAUCAGGUGCUAUGACAUCAGAUGACCUGCUCCCCUGUCUUUGAGCCUUGUGUGUGCGCGUACAGCCAGCAGUAGGCUCCAUCCACUUCUAGAAGUACGGGUGUUUAAGAAAGUUGAAAACAGCAGCCUGAAAUGUGGAGUUUUAGUGCACUUGAAAAUGCUCUCAUGGCCCUUCCUGCUUCUCAGAAAUACUGCUUGAUUCAAUAGUAAGGCAGAGGAGUAGCUGUCAAGUGAAAAUGUGUGAAUAAUCCUCAAAUGACAUUCAGGGAGAGAAAUCUGUCUUUAGUUUAACCUGGACCAGUGUCAGCGGAGCGCUGCCUCAGAUACGCCAGCAUGAAGAAUGGAGGCUUGGGGCUGGCCUGUGGCCUCCGUAGGUACAGCACUGAGACUCUUUGCGGGAAAGUCAACUGACAGACUUUUCUUAUAUCAUCAACGGUGGAAGUUGUGGACUCCAAUUUGAAAAGAACUAACUAUUACUGCAAUCGAUUGAUGUAACUUUUUCCAAACUGACAAAAUAUGAAAAUGAUGUACCCAAGACUAACGACCAAGUUAUAUUAAUUACCGUGUUUUAGUGUAAGAGAUGAUUCAAGUAACAAGAUGGCAAUCAAUGCAUCUUCCUCAAGUACUUUCUUUCUUAAACUUAGUUUAGUAUGAGCCUUAGACAGUGAGAUCCUAAGAGAUGAAUGUAAGCAUGUUAAACAAAAAAUACUGCAGACAUAAAUACAAUAUGUAUUGCACUGUUUCAAGCAUUGCUGUAAAUCGGAAGUUAACACUGAAGUGGGUUUUUUCCAUACUUCAGCUGUGUAAACUUCCCACAAAUACUGUGCAGUUAUACUUCUUGACAAAGUACAUAUUAUUAUGCAUAACUGUGCUAUGAAAGCAGUAGAACUUGGCAUAUUACCUACUGGUAAUGUUGUGGGGUUUUUUUGCUUGCAUAAUACAAAGCCAUGAUAAUUUAAGUCCCAUUUUUCUAGAUAGCUUUAAUAGUGAUAAUUGUUUCUUAAAUCACUGGGUUGUGCCUGGCAAAGUUCUUUUUUUUUUUUGGCAUUCAUAAAUGGUAAAGAAGAUUCUUUAUGCUUGAACUUUUCAAAACUUGAGUCUUGUCUAGAUUUCUAUUUAACAAGCUCUUGAGCAGGUUAGCACAAUUUCUAUUUGAAAUGUAGAUCUGUUUCCUUUACUUUGAAAAGUGGGACAUACAGAAUUUUUAGUGCAGAUGUUGACAAUGUUGAUCCGUGAAUAGAAUCUCUUCUCACUCUGCGACUUGCAACAUAGUAGCCCUGAAUGAGGUUUUCUGCUUCUGAACUCAGUUCAACAUGAAGAUUCUUAGCAAACAAAAUAAACUAGAGAGAGGGUAUACAUUUUAAAUAUUUAACUGGAAAAUAAAGAAUUUACAUUUUUCACACCUUUUAACAUACCAGUGGCAUAGUAAUAUAGUUUGGACAAUAUAUUCUACCAAUGUUUUUUAUAAAGAAAGACAGCUGUCGCCAUUCAGUUAUGCAUCAGGAUAGAUCUCAGAUACUAAACACAAUCAUCUGUUAAUUAUGCUAGAGAUAUUGACAGUUUGUUUAGAAUGGAAUAUUAACUUUUACUAUGGAUUAUAAGCUAUUCUGGUAAAAAAUAGGUGCUGGAGUUCUGUUCUCAUAUGAUCAAACUGAAUUUAUUAUGUUGGUCCUUUUGAAGAACCGAAGCUAAUUUUAUCAAUGAUCCUUUUUAGUGCUAGUGGCAAUAUGGAAUAUGGCAAUCAGAAUGUGCAGAGAGAACCUUCUGAUUCCAGAAAUAGUAUGACAUUCCCAAGUACAAUGCAUUUCAAAAUCACUGGGUAAUAUCUGUUACCUCCUCAUAAUCCUGCAUUCUGAACUGCUGUGAGACUUUGUACAGCAUGGCUUCAGGAUUAACGGCUUUUUUCAAGGUAUGAUGUACGACAGGAGAAGACAGUCGGCACGAAGGAAACUCAUUGUAUAUCAAAAGUCCAAAAACAUCUAGAAGAUUAGGUGGAACCAAACUCAAGUCCUAAAGAGAAGACCCAGAGAAAGAAAACAAUUAUUUUAGCCCUUUGGCUUGUAGAAACAUUGCAGGUUUUUUUUUCAGUCUGAAAUGUUCAAUAUCAAUAUAUACUGAAUCCUGCAAAAUUAUCCAAUAAAUUUUGUUUCAAUAGUAGUUGUCAAAAGCUAUUCUAAAUAAAAUAAGUUAUACCUUACUUUGGGGAAAGCUAGCUCAUUUUAGAAGAUACUUGAUUUAAAGUCACUUAAGUUGUGUCUUUUUGGGAAAUACUAACAAAUUUGAUUGUUUUCGUUAUUUUAUAAGUUGAAAUGACCAUAAACACAGAUGACUGCUAUAGUACGGUUACUGUCAUAACAAGGCAUGUGCUUUACCAUCUGUCCAAUU
Chroicocephalus ridibundus (black-headed gull) is the source of this 2810-nucleotide long non-coding RNA. RefSeq lists it as uncharacterized. The transcript has 5 exons. The record is from RefSeq and is a predicted model, not a curated record. NCBI's taxonomy places the organism in Eukaryota, Metazoa, Chordata, Aves, Charadriiformes, Laridae.